Molecule: ribosomal RNA, 21 nt
Filed under: Bryum argenteum
Lineage: Eukaryota; Viridiplantae; Streptophyta; Bryopsida; Bryales; Bryaceae
Description: partial 5.8S ribosomal RNA
Source: RNAcentral
UGAAUCUAAAAACUUAACUUA